Brassica napus (rape) is the source of this 10799-nucleotide long non-coding RNA. RefSeq lists it as uncharacterized. The record is from RefSeq and is a predicted model, not a curated record. Lineage: Eukaryota; Viridiplantae; Streptophyta; Magnoliopsida; Brassicales; Brassicaceae. The transcript is spliced from 10 exons.
AGCUGGCAAUGAGAUCCAUGUGCUCCUCAGUUUUUACUGUGGGAAGGUUUAAAGUGCAGUUAUCCAAAUGCUGACUCACCGAUGAUUACAUCCUUGAACUUUAAAGAGAGCAACUUGACCGGUAGCAUAACACUUGAAUUUGCCAAGCUAACACAGUUGAUAGAGCUAGAUUAUCAAAGAAUGAUUUGUCAGGAGAGAUUCCAUCGUUUUUUGCUGAUAUGAAGUCGUUGAAACUCAUAAAAUUAAAUGGAAAUCCGAAUCUCAAUAGCACCAUUCCAGAUUCUCUUCAGCAAAGAUUAAAGAAAAAUUCUUUAACUCUAAUUUUGAGGGAAACAUAUAGAAAAGAGAGUGAAAAGGUUCCGGUGUUUGCUAUAGCAAUUUCAGUGGCUGGAAUGUUUACUCUGCUGGUCUUCUUGGCUAUCUGAAGAAUAAGACAAAAACAAAGUACGACGAGCUCCACUACCAUCUCCUUUCUUCUACAAAGGUCUUCUCUUCUGCAGUAUCUCAAGUCCGAUGGGAAACCUCAACGUCGUGCCCUCAGCCUCUCUUCCAUGGUGUCCCAAGAGGUCUUUGUGGUGAUUUCAGCCUCUCUUCGUGUCUCCGGUGGACCGUAAAGGGAAGCUGCCACCGCAUCCGAGAUUGGAUCGCCAUUGUUGAACCUUGAAAUUAAGUUUCCUUAAUUUUCACAUGUGGUCCUUGUAAUUUUAAAUAUUUCUACUAUUGUCUUAAAACUUUCAGAUUUGCAAAUAAGUCUUCUUCAGUUAACCUAAAACAUCUGAAUUUUCAUUUUAGACCCUGUUGAAUGAAAUGAAGAAAGAAAUAUACCAAAAACCUCUAAAUACUUCUUUUUAGCAAUCAUACUCAAAAUCAUUAAAAUUAUUAAAAUAUAAUAAUUUGAGAAAUGUACAAAUGAAUAUGUGUACAUGUAUCUUAUAAUAUUGUACACAUGGACAGUAGAAUAUAUUUGUACACGUUGACGAUAUUUGACAUACCGAGUACCUUUCAAUUAUCAUUCAAAAUAUGAUUUUGGGUUUUUAGCUACACAUGUACAUUUUGAAGUUGAUGUACAUAUGUACACCAUGAAAUUGAUGUACGUAUACAAUAUGAGCACUUAGAUGUUACUAUUGCAUCUUAAUUCGUUAAUUUAAAUUAUGUAAGCAUCAUUUAAUUGUUAAUAUUAUAUUUACAUACAUAAUUCCAUAACCAGGGUCUGGAAUGCAUACAUGUGUAAAUUUGUACAUGUUUAUAUGUGUACAUGUGUACAUUUGUACAGGUGUACAUGUUUAUAUGUGUUUAUGUGCAUUGUAUAUCAUUAAAGUAAUGUUCCGUACAAUCAUGUUUUUCCACUAAAACCGCAAAUCACAUUGUCUGGUUAAAAACCUAAAACCCAAAAUCACAUUUUGAAUGAUACUUGAAAGCUACUCAGUGUGUCAAAUAUCAUCAACGUGUACACAUGUAUUCUAUUGUCCACGUGUACAAUAUUAUACCCAAAGAUACAUGUACACGGAUUCUUUUGUACAUUUCUCAAAUUAUGAUAUUUAAUAAUUUUAUGUACAUAUAUGUUAUAUUAUAUUUUGAAUUCAUAUUUACAUAUUAUAGGGAUUGAAUUGUACAAUUAAAAAUUUUUGGACAAUUAAAAGGGAUGCAUUUGAAAAUUUGAUAGUUUGGGCCAAAUUGAUAAUAACAAAUAAAGGACCAAAUGUAAAAAUGUGAGAAAAGCUCCAUUGUUGCCUGAGCUUCACUGUGGAACUCCGGAGCAGAUUCCGACCAUCACACCCACCAUGACAUACUAUCAGAGCCCGAGGAGGCUGAGUUGUACGGAGUACGACGUGGAAGACGAAGCUUGGUCGUCUUGAUUUAUGGCGAAGGAGAAGACAAACCGCAAUCGAACUGAGGUUCAUCAGAGUCACGGAUAAGGACUAGGAAGCACAGCGAAGAGGAACUGUAAAAGAAGAGAAGAUGAGAUUGUGUUUUUGUUUUAUGAACUGAAAAAGAUACAAAAUCUGGAAAAGAAAAGAAGAAAAAGAAGAUGAGAAAUUAGUGGGUCCUACAGAUUGUGUACUAAUUAUACUUUAGUUAGUAAUGGAUGAAAUAUGUUAGUAAAAGUUAAGAAAAAGUGUCCUAAAAGCAGAAACUGUCUUAUUGUGAUAUAAAAAAAACUUAAAACUGUCUAAAAGUGUUAAUAACUCAAAGAAGUUCUACUGAAAUCUUCUGCAAUAGAUUUUGACUCCUUUUUAUUACAGUUUUAUCUAAUUUAAAGUUUCUCUCUCUCUUCUCUCUGUUCCCUAUCUUCAUCUUUCACAGAGAAAGAGGAGAGAUGAAACUUGCUCGCCGGUUCCGUUCACCGGCUUAGGUCUCCCGUGGAUCGGGCACCAGUUCUGACAACGACGUCUUCUUCAGAGUCGAUUGGUCGGCUUUUGGUUCCGACGAUGCACCAGAAGCUCCGGUGUACUCGUUCGCUUCUGGCUCUGAGUCUCACCUUCUUCCGGUGAUGACGUCGGCGUUUCUCCGGGGUUUUCACGGCUUCAGUUUCUUGACUCGAUCUUUUGGGGUUUGUGGUGUUUCGACUGCUACGGUUUGCUCUCGACUAGGGUCGAUUGAUGCUCACCGACUUAUGGUAUUACUGCGACAAAAGACUCGGAGUUGUGGCUUGUUUACUGCCAGAGUCAUCUCGACGGCUUCUUCUCUUCAACGUCCUGUUUCCGGUGUGUCCGGUGGAUCGGCGGCGAGUUGUUCCGGCGAUGACUCUUCAGUCGUGGUGUCGAUGGUUGGUCAACACGUGUAUCUCGUUCGCUCCUCGUUGUUGAGGUUGCAACACGUGUUUUUCCUUUCGUUUGUAUAGUGACUGGUCGAAUGGCAUCUUAUGUUUCGGUUGGUUUUCAGAUGGGCCUUGGGUUUGGGCCUUUUGUUUUUGUUUUGUAUGGCUGUGCCCUUUUGGGUUUGCACCUUUAAUAAUAACUAGAUUCUGACGGGUAUUUUUUGGUUGACCGUAAAGCUAAAUAUUAUUUAAAUUUAAACUUACUAUUAUAUAUCUAUAAUAUUUAAAAGCUGUUAUAUUAUUAUUAUUUUCAUCUGCUCAGUCUUGUACAAUAUUUUCAUUGAAUUUUCAUAUCCGAGUCAGACUUGUAGUCGAACCGAUGGAUCUAUUUACUCGUAUAUAAGUGAGGGUAGGAUAUAAUAAAACGAACAUGGUAAAAAUACCUCACAAUAAUAUUAAUCUUUUUGAGACAAUUGUUUUAUUAGUAGAAAUCUAUAAUAUAAAAUAAAUGAUCUGUUUACAUUUAUUAUUUUUUUCAAUUCUGUUUACAUGUAUUUAUGUAUUAAUUGGUGUUCAAAAUAUUGUAUUUUUUUAAAGAAGUAAUUGAAAGUGGGUCUGAAGUUAAAUGGGAUUAAAAUUGUUUUUAACUUAAAUGGGUUUAGUAGUAAAAAUCGAUUUGUUAAGUUAAGGGCCCAAGCCCAUCAAAAAAUUUGUACCUGCCGACAAGAAAGGAUUAAGAUCGUCUCUUGUUUUGACAGAUUGAAACUCUAAAAAAAAAAAAAUUCGGAGAUGGCGAUUCCCGUCCACUCGUUCCUCUCGGAUUUGAUCUGGUGUUGGGUCCAUGUGAUUUCCGAUGACUUCCGAGUACAAAUCGGUCAGAUUGUAAUACUGAAACAAUACCCGACAAACAUGUUCUUAUUUUUAUAUGCAUGGCAAAUAUGGAUCAAGUCUUUAUUUAGGUGAACAUUAUCAAACGUGAGAAGGAUAUAUUCUAAAAGAGCAGAUGAAUCACCAAACUAAAAAGUCAGAGCAGAUGAAUCACCAAUGUCAAAAGUCAGUGUAUUUACAAUCAAGAUUCAAACUCGUUUUAAAGAGCUGGAAAGGCAUUUAUAAUAUAGACCAUGAUGAUUCAAAGUCAAUAAUAAGGAGAUAAGUCGAACUUUUUAUAAUAUAUUCUUUUAGUAGUUGGGUCAAGUUGCUAACUUUUGAUGAAACAUCCUCUAUGUUGUUAUGCUUAUGGUUCUUAGUUUUGAUUGUAGGAUUUAAAAAACAUAAUCAUCGUAUAGUAAACUGACAUCAACAUCUAUUUGGAGAAGAUCAGAACGCGUAUACACUCCUAUUAUUAACUGUAAGUUGUUCUAAUUACUUGAUAGUAUUGAACAAUAGGAAUGGAACUUUAUCGGUAGUUAGGUAUCAAACCGGAGCUUGCUUGAUUUCUUGAAAUGAAUGAAUGCUUUUAUUGAAAAUAAUAAAACUUGCAAAGCAUUAUAAAUAUUGUUUUCCAAAAUUAAAUACUGUAUGCAACCCAAAUAGAUAGUUCAACAAAAGAAAACAACAAAGUAAAGAUAAAAUCAGAGAUUCUGGAAAAUCUCUUUGAAAACAACGUUCAUUGUUUGUUUCUGAGGCUUUCCCUCAUCGUCCACAAUCAAAAUCGUUAGCCCCUUCUUAGAUGUCACUCUUGAGAUAGCCACGUACAAUUGACCAUGAGAAAACACAGGCCUUGGUAGAUAAAUGCCAACUUCUGAUAGUGAUUGCCCCUGACUCUUAUUAAUUGUAAUGGCAAAAGCCACAGCAAUAAGUAGUUGCCUCUUUUUCAUCUUGAAAGGCAACUUUUUGUCAGUAGGGGUAAUAGCAAGCCUAGGAAUAAGAACAAUUCGCCCAACCUUAUCUCCUGUAAUCACUUUCGCCUUAAUCACAAAAUCAUACAUCUCUGUAAUCUGAAGUCGAGUCCCAUUCAUUAAUCCGCCAGUAGGAUCUAUGUUUCUUAGCAACAUUAUAGGACAACCGAUUUUCAAAUGAAGACUGUGAUUUGGCAAACCUGAUACUUUGAUGGUGUUUAAAAAAUCUGGAGUGAGAGCUUGGUCACUUUUCCCAAAUUUAUCAGAAGCAUCAAUCGAAUCAGAACUUGCGUAGAUUCUUUCCUCACCUGUUAAAAAAAAAACAGACAAAUUAAUCAAUCAACUGCGAUCAAAUAUAUAAGAACAAUAGAUUAUAAAUUAUGAGAAAAAUAACAAACCAUCAAGGCUAUCCAACAUGUGCUGAUUAAUCUUGUCUACAUCUUCAUUAGUAGGACAAAGUAUAGCUCUUUCUUGAAAAAACUUAGGCUCUUUAUUCUGCUGCAAAGAUAUUGAAUCCCCAUAAACAGCUUUGCUUAUAGAAUCAAUUGGAUCAUUUGCAUCAAGAAUAAGAAACUCCUCUGGAAUAUCGAUUAAAGCCUCUCCAUCGUUACCUUGCCCAAUGUUUCCAUCUCCAACAUCUAAUAUCCACUGAGAAAACUCAUGUAAAUCUUUUGCUUCUUCAGGAGACAAAUUGUUGGACAUUAGCCUCAUGUUCUUUGUUAGUCUCAACACUUUUACAUGCUUCCAAAGAUAAGAGGAAUUUAAAGAAGCCAAAACAAUUUCAGCUCUUCCUGCUCCAUGAAUGACAGGCAACACUUGUCUAAAAUCCCCUCCUAGGACAACUACUUUUCCAGCAAAAGGUAAAUUGUCCUUGUUCCCAAUAAUGUCAGUCAAGCUUCUAUCCAAUGAUUCGAAACAAUGCUUGCUCAUCAUUGGUGCCUCGUCCCAGAUGAUCAAAGAAGAUUCUUUAAUCAAAUUUGCUUGAUCAGAUCCUUUAAUUAGUGUGCAAGUUGAAAAAUCAUCUGGGUUGAUUGGUAUUCCAAAUCUAGAAUGUGCUGUCCUUCCUCCUGGUAGAAGUAGUGAAGCUAUCCCACUUGAUGCAACAUUCAAACAAAUUCUCCUUUGUAUCUAAUAGCAGCAGACAACAUUCUCCACAAGAAAGUUUUUCCAGUUCCACCAAAGCCAUACACAAAAAAAACGCCUCCUUUCUUCUCUAUGACAGCACUAAGAACCUCAUCAUAAAUCUUUCUUUGUUCGUCUGUCAUUUUAACAAAGUUCUGAUCAUGAUCAGCUUUUAACUGCUCUCUGUCAUAAGCAAGCUCAUCCAUAAUCAAGACAUUCUCCUUAUGAGUUAGAUCAGAUAUUGGCUUUGGCAUUUUCUCCCAGGCUUCCAGAGAAGUACCAUUCCUCUUCAAAAUCUUCUCAAUCUCGUGAAGAGUAAGCUGUUUUAUCUCCUCGUCAGUCGAACAUAGAUCUACAUAACAAAAAUAACCAUAUUCAAACUUUUAAAGUUACUCAGGAAUAAUAGGAGUGUAUUAUGCUAACGAUUUUGAAAAGCUAAUCAUACCUGGUCUGUUUAAUAGCUUCCUACGACGAUACAAAAUGUCAUCAGAUAGAAAUUCCCAAGUGUUUUCCCAAACAACUUCUGGCUUCGAUAGACUAUUUGACAUGAGCAUGAUCACAAAACACUGGCGCAUAUAUGAUGCUGAACCUGUAAAACUUGUCCUCACAAUAUCGUCAAUAUAUUCUUGAUCAUCUUCCAACAAACCCCGAGCAAAGCACGUCUCUUUGUAAUCUGGAUACUGAACAUUGUUAAAUGUUUUGAUUUCCUCAAAAGAUGUAGGACCCCUUACAAUGUUCAGCAAGACUCUAAGGUAGUAGGCCUGUUCUAUUUUCCGUGGUGCGUAGUUGAUUCUGCCAAUACUGUAUCCUCUCUUUCUAUCAGUAAACUUCCGCUGUUUUUUAUUCCAAAUAAACUUUGUUGGAAUUUCAGCUAGAGUCAUCUUCCUUGCAACCUCACUGAUUUUGUUUAGUUCAAACCAUCCCAUGAACAUUGUAUUCUCGAUAAGCACGUGACUGGUAACUUCAUCAUAGGUGUCAUCAUCUUUGAAAAUGACAAUCUGCUUUCCCGGUAAAUGAAAUUGUAUCCUCUCAACUGGCAUGGAUCGAUGGUGUAUAUUAAACUUAAAUGUUCUCCAUGCACCUUCCGAAGCAGAUACAUAUCUGCAUAUGCGUGUCAAAAAUAUUUAGUUAGCCAUAACUACUCAACGUAGUCAAAGUUUAGAAAUGUCAUAGUUUGUUCCAUAGAUAUACGAAACUAAUAUUCAUGUACCUGCAGUUGAAGAAAUCCUUAAUUUCAUUUUUUUUCUCUUCUGUUACUGCUCCAUCAGUACCGCUAGUCGCAGUUGAAGGAUUUUCCACGGCUACAGUACAACGAUCUUGUCCUUUAUUAAUAUACUUAAAUAAGUAUUUGAUUGAACCAGUCUGAUUACACCAUUCGACAUUGAUGUGAGCUCGAUAACGAAGCGACAGAUCUCUGUUAUAAGGAAUGACAUAUCUGUUGUCACAUUUGAAGCCAUGUUUCUCAAUGAAGCGAUCAGGCUGUUCUCUUCUUCUGUAGAUAGGAAAUCCUUCUUUGUUGACAGUAGUCUUCUCAACGUGAGUUUUAGGAUAUAGCUUAGAGCAUUUUCCAUUCUCCAUGCAAGGGGACUUCAUGUUAACAGCUCCACAAGGACCAUGAAUCAUCAUAUCUUUCACAACUUCGUAAAGCUCCGGGUCUUUCUCUUUAUCUGGAAUUUCAGCCGAAAUGAUCCUAUCAAUGUCUGCAGUAGUCGAAAAUUUUGACCCAGGAGCCAUAAAUAGCAGAAUCCAAAGGUGGUGUUGAAUUCACUCACUUAAUGUCUCUAAGUGUAAACUCCAACUUUUUCCUUUCUUUUCCUCCAGUACAAUGAACUGUAUCAAGAUCACCCAAGUCCAAAACCUGUCCAAUUAAAUCUGAAAAAAAAACACAAUGCAUAUGAUUAUCUAUCAAACUUUGCUAAUAUAAUCAAAACUUUAAAUAUAUCGAAAAUGAAAUACCAAUAAGGAUGUUCGUAUUAUGCUUGCCAGUUAGUAUGGUUUCAAAAUCAACCAAAUCCAGAAAAUUAUCAACAAUCCGGAGAGUUGACUCCGAGAUGUCCGUGUUGUGAAGGAAAUUCAUUUUCAAAGGAUUUUUGGUUGUUCGAAAUGUACGGGGAGCAUUCGUCAAACUGAAGUUAUCAAUGUUGAUCCACUCUCCAACAGGAACUUUCGUAGCCAACUCAUCCAUGUAAGUCUUCUUACACGAUGCAUGAAUUUUUGUACCCUAAAAAUACCAUAGAUUCAAAAUUUACGUUGAUUAGAAUAUAGACAAAAAUCUUGAAAAUAACAAAAACAUAUAAAGAAUAACACACUUACAUGAGCAUCAGAAAGGACUAAUUCGAGUGAGUCACCAGCCAUUUUAGUCCAUUGUCUCCAUGAAUGCAGAACUUUGACUUGUACCCGAUAAGAUGUAAAACGUGGUUUGAUAUCGUUCAAGAAGGUAAUCUGCAUAUUGUUAACCAUGAUUUUCUGAAUCAUUUUUUCUUUUCUUGUGAGGAGUUUGAGUUUGAUUUUGAUAAAGAUGGAUGUUAAAGGGUUGAGAGUAAGAUUGUAUUUAUAAUAUAGGAGGGGUUUAUAGUCGAUCAACCAUAAUUGAAUAUUUUGUAAUCAAAUUGGUUAUCUUAUUUUAAGGAAUAAAAUCUAAGCAAGCAUCAAUUAGUUAUUUUGGUUGAUAGAUUUUAGGUAAAUUGUGUAGUUAGCCGUAAUAAAUAAACUUGUAGAGGAAGGAAUUUAGAAUAUUGGUUAAGGUAAUUACGUGAUUGAGAAUAAUAGCAUUGAUUCUUAAUAAUGAUUAUUUAAACGUGAUAUUAAUCAAUAAUAUCCUGUGGAGGAAGGAAUUAAGAUUUUUGGUUUAGGUAAUUAUGGGAUUGAGAAUAUAUACUAUUGAUUUUUUUGUUUACAAAAUCACUAUUGAUUCUUAAACGUGAUCAAUAUUCAAAAAAAUCUUCGAAUAUAUACACUUAGCAUAUUUAUUUUUCUCUUCGUGAUCAUUUCGUAUCAAUGUAAAUAAAUGUUAGUUACCGUAUUUAUAGGAAUAAAAUCUAAGCUUUUAAAAUUUUUUGUUGUUGACAAUAAUAAAUAAACUUGUAGAGGAAGUAAUGAAGAUAUUUUGCUUUCACUUAGCAUAUUCGUUAGUUUUUCAGAGUUCACAUUUAUUUAGUUGUUAAUUCUUCUAUAGUUAUUUUGCUUUCUAAACUUAUGAUAAAUUGUCUACUCAAAUAUAAGCAAGAGAUAAAAGCAAGUCAUUUCUAUAGUUAUUUUGCUUCCUAAACUUAUGAUAAACUUGUAGAGGAAGCAUUGUAGUUGUUUUGCUUCCACUUAGUAUAUUCGUUUGUUAUUCAGAUUUCACAUUUAUUGAGUUGUGUUUCGUGCUUCAAACCGCAAUUUUAAUGCCCCUUUAUUAUUAAUAUAAAUUUAUGACAAAAUAAAAUCCCCCUUUGUGUUUCGUGAUAUUUUAUUGUUUGACAAAAUCAAAUUGUAAAUCUUCAUAAGAAAACAAAGGAAAAGUACAAAUGCAUUUUCCUCUCACGUACUAAUAAUAUAAUCUUCAUAAGAAAACAAAUGAAAAGUACAUUUAGAAUAUUCUUCAAAUCUCGAUGUUUGCUUCCCAGGUAAGAGAUAUUGGAUUCCAAACAAAAUUACAUUUGGCACAGCAAUCUGGAUUAUCAUUAUCUUCUACUUCAAUAAUAUCCUUGUUAUUUUCCAUCCAAACCAUAAACUUGUUGUUUUCUGAGGUUGUGGACAAAUCUUUUUGUUUUGUGGAGAGCUGAAACAUAUAAGAAAACCAUAAUAAGAGAUCUGAAUAUAUAAUGAAAGUAAACAUGUUAGCCGCGAUUUCUAAACACAUAGUCCCAUAGUUCAACCAUGUAAAAAUGUAAUACCUUAUCAUGAGGGGGAGAUGAGGAUUGCAAUGACUUAAAAAAACAGGAUAUGAACCACUUUAGCAUUUUUUGGUUUCCUUGGGUCUGAGCCUCGGGUUUUAUGUUUUUGAUAUUGGUGAUAUAUGUGAUGCUCUUGAGUUUGGUGAGAGGUGGGUUAUAUAGGAUAUGAGAUGGCGAUUUCUGGUUAGAUAAUAGUCUAUUUUAUUAAAAUGAAAUUUAAAGUAGAUGUCAACUUAGAAUAUUCUUUUCGAAUUAUUUGGGUUACAAAGGUCGUAGAUGCUGUUAUAAUAGAUAUGGUUAGACCAAAAAAUGAAAAAAGGAAAAGGUUCAAAAUGACUUUCAUAGGUAGAUUUAUUUAAACUCCUUCUCUUUUAAUAGUAUAGAUUUCAGACGGAAAAAGAAAGAAAAAAAAAAAAGAAAUCUUCUGCAAUAUCAGCUCCAGUUUUUCGUAUGUCUUGUUUUAAAAUUCCACAACAGACGAUAGCAGAACUUACAGGUGUUGUGUCACAAUUUUGGUGGGACACGUUACCAACUACAAAAGGCAUCCCUUGGCUGGCAUGGCAACGUAUGCAGUUUCCAAAAAGUCAAGGUGGUCUUGGUUUCAAGAAUCUUGGGAAAUUCAAUAAUGCUUGGCGUCUCGUAUCAUAUCCAAACUCCCCUCUGGCUAAGCUUCUAAAAGUUUGCUAUUAUAGAGAUACUCAUCUCUUACAUGCCAAAACUAAAAAAUAUGAAAAAUCAUAUGAGCCGUACGAGCUUUUUAUAGCUGCCCGAAGAGAAAACUAGAAAAAUAAAGUUAUUUAAAAAUAUAUCAAGAUUAAUAAUUAGUAUCAUUAUUGAGAAAAAACACAAUUGUUACAUAACAAACAACUAAAAAAGUUAGCAAAAAUAGUUAUAAAAUAUAACAUUUUAUAUUCAUAAAAACCAUAACCAAAAUAAUCAAGUGACUCAAUGUUCUUAAUUGAUAUAUUCAAACGAAAAUAAAUGUAUUACUAUACAAACUUAAAAUAAUUAUACACUAAAUAGAACUACGAAUUUGAGAUAAAUAUUGAGAUAGGAUAUAUUAUACUUAGAAGUGAUAACCACCAAAAUACGAGAAGACAAUGUUGAUAGCUUGUAAUCUUCUAGUUAUGUAAAUUUUAAUUAUUUAUUAUUUGUCCCAGUUAAACAAAAUUGAUUUAAAACAAAAGUAUAUAAAGUUUAGGG